This 748-nucleotide ribosomal RNA is filed under the name fungal sp. RNAcentral describes it as "eukaryotic LSU rRNA". The stretch from base 523 to 748 matches the Rfam family "Eukaryotic large subunit ribosomal RNA", at positions 1 to 226 of the family's 3401-position model. Lineage: Eukaryota; Fungi. The record is from RNAcentral.
AGGAUCAUUACCGAGUGCGGGUCCUUUGGGCCCAACCUCCCAUCCGUGUCUAUUAUACCCUGUUGCUUCGGCGGGCCCGCCGCUUGUCGGCCGCCGGGGGGGCGCCUUUGCCCCCCGGGCCCGUGCCCGCCGGAGACCCCAACACGAACACUGUCUGAAAGCGUGCAGUCUGAGUUGAUUGAAUGCAAUCAGUUAAAACUUUCAACAAUGGAUCUCUUGGUUCCGGCAUCGAUGAAGAACGCAGCGAAAUGCGAUAACUAAUGUGAAUUGCAGAAUUCAGUGAAUCAUCGAGUCUUUGAACGCACAUUGCGCCCCCUGGUAUUCCGGGGGGCAUGCCUGUCCGAGCGUCAUUGCUGCCCUCAAGCCCGGCUUGUGUGUUGGGUCGCCGUCCCCCUCUCCGGGGGGACGGGCCCGAAAGGCAGCGGCGGCACCGCGUCCGAUCCUCGAGCGUAUGGGGCUUUGUCACAUGCUCUGUAGGAUUGGCCGGCGCCUGCCGACGUUUUCCAACCAUUUUUUCCAGGUUGACCUCGGAUCAGGUAGGGAUACCCGCUGAACUUAAGCAUAUCAAUAAGCGGAGGAAAAGAAACCAACCGGGAUUGCCUCAGUAACGGCGAGUGAAGCGGCAAGAGCUCAAAUUUGAAAGCUGGCUCCUUCGGAGUCCGCAUUGUAAUUUGCAGAGGAUGCUUUGGGUGCGGCCCCCGUCUAAGUGCCCUGGAACGGGCCGUCAGAGAGGGUGAGAAUCCCGUCU